RNAcentral lists this ribosomal RNA (565 nucleotides) under uncultured Glomus. RNAcentral's name for it is "SSU rRNA". It matches the Rfam family "Eukaryotic small subunit ribosomal RNA", at positions 546 to 1106 of the family's 1831-position model. Lineage: Eukaryota; Fungi; Glomeromycota; Glomeromycetes; Glomerales; Glomeraceae. The record is from RNAcentral.
AAUUGGAGGGCAAGUCUGGUGCCAGCAGCCGCGGUAAUUCCAGCUCCAAUAGCGUAUAUUAAAGUUGUUGCAGUUAAAAAGCUCGUAGUUGAAUUUCGGGAUUGACACAUCGGUCGUGCCUUAAGGGGUAUGAACUGGUGUAGUCAAUUUCUCACCUUCUGGAGAACCGCGAUGCCCUUAAUUGGGUGUCACGGGGAACCAGGACCUUUACUUUGAAAAAAUUAGAGUGCUUAAAGCAGGCAUUUUGCUUGAAUACAUUAGCAUGGAAUAAUAAAAUAGGACGGCAUGAUUCUAUUUUGUUGGUUUCUAGGAUCACCGUAAUGAUUAAUAGGGAUAGUUGGGGGCAUUAGUAUUCAAUUGUCAGAGGUGAAAUUCUUGGAUUUAUUGAAGACUAACUACUGCGAAAGCAUUUGCCAAGGAUGUUUUCAUUAAUCAAGAACGAAAGUUAGGGGAUCGAAGACGAUCAGAUACCGUCGUAGUCUUAACCAUAAACUAUGCCGACUAGGAAUCAGACGAUGUUAAUUUUUUAAUGACUCGUUUGGCACCUUACGGGAAACCAAAGUGU